This 102-nucleotide transfer RNA is filed under the name Parascedosporium putredinis. It matches the Rfam family "tRNA". Rfam says of the family: Transfer RNA (tRNA) molecules are approximately 80 nucleotides in length. Their secondary structure includes four short double-helical elements and three loops (D, anti-codon, and T loops). The record is from Rfam by way of RNAcentral. Lineage: Eukaryota; Fungi; Ascomycota; Sordariomycetes; Microascales; Microascaceae.
GGUAAGAUGGCCGAGCGGUCUAAGGCGCCAGGUUAAGGUUACCUUAACGAGUAAAUUCCUGGUCCAGGUAACUGGGCGUGAGUUCGAAUCUCACUCUUAUCA